This 264-nucleotide ribosomal RNA is filed under the name uncultured bacterium. RNAcentral describes it as "partial 16S ribosomal RNA". It matches the Rfam family "Bacterial small subunit ribosomal RNA", at positions 1238 to 1500 of the family's 1533-position model. The record is from RNAcentral.
UACAAAGGGUUGCGAAACCGCGAGGUCAGGCUAAUCCCAAAAAAUGCAUCUCAGUUCGGAUUGGAGUCUGCAACUCGACUCCAUGAAGUCGGAAUCGCUAGUAAUUCCAGAUCAGCAUGCUGGGGUGAAUACGUUCCCGGGUCUUGUACACACCGCCCGUCACACCAUGGGAGUCGGGAAUGCCCGAAGUCAGUGGCCCAACCGGAAGGGGGGAGCUGCCGAAGGCAGGCCCGGUGACCUGGGGUGAAGUCGUAACAAGGUAAC